RNAcentral lists this long non-coding RNA (206 nucleotides) under Elaeis guineensis (African oil palm). RNAcentral describes it as "long non-coding RNA (EGUI_LNC011457)". The record is from RNAcentral. Lineage: Eukaryota; Viridiplantae; Streptophyta; Magnoliopsida; Arecales; Arecaceae.
GCCUGAGCUUGGUCUCCAAAUUUCGCAUAGCUGCUUCUUGAUUUUGCAUGAAUUUAGUUUCUAAGUUCCUCAUGGCUGCUUCUUGGUUUUGCAUAAAUUUAACCAUCAGCUCUUCCAUGUCAGGCUUCUUCUCAUAUAUUUGGAAUCGUAGGGGUGGUUGAUGUGCUGCAGAUUUAUUACUCCACGAGAAGUUUGGAUGCUGCCUC